UUUUGUUCCACUUACUCACAAAUAGACAAUACUUCAUCGAAUGCUACUUUUUGUCGAGUUUACUCUUGCACCCCCUCGUGCUGGAUAGCCACUAGUUUCUUCUUCACUACUCUUGCUUACCUCUCCUUUAUCAAGGAACAAUUAUUGGACAAUACAGAGAUAACUUGUGUCUUUCUUGGGAGACGCCACACCCAUUAACGUCUCGGAUUCAC
RNAcentral lists this long non-coding RNA (212 nucleotides) under Manihot esculenta (cassava). Its description in RNAcentral is "long non-coding RNA (MESC_LNC012824)". Lineage: Eukaryota; Viridiplantae; Streptophyta; Magnoliopsida; Malpighiales; Euphorbiaceae. The record is from RNAcentral.